AAAUUGAAGAGUUUGAUCAUGGCUCAGAUUGAACGCUGGCGGCAGGCCUAACACAUGCAAGUCGAACGGUAACAGGAAACAGCUUGCUGUUUCGCUGACGAGUGGCGGACGGGUGAGUAAUGUCUGGGAAACUGCCUGAUGGAGGGGGAUAACUACUGGAAACGGUAGCUAAUACCGCAUAACGUCGCAAGACCAAAGAGGGGGA
RNAcentral lists this ribosomal RNA (205 nucleotides) under Escherichia coli. Its description in RNAcentral is "partial 16S ribosomal RNA". It matches the Rfam family "Bacterial small subunit ribosomal RNA", at positions 1 to 213 of the family's 1533-position model. RNAcentral also lists the same sequence under 3 other names. Lineage: Bacteria; Pseudomonadati; Pseudomonadota; Gammaproteobacteria; Enterobacterales; Enterobacteriaceae. The record is from RNAcentral.